This 471-nucleotide ribosomal RNA is filed under the name uncultured bacterium. RNAcentral's name for it is "partial 16S ribosomal RNA". It matches the Rfam family "Bacterial small subunit ribosomal RNA", at positions 28 to 506 of the family's 1533-position model. The record is from RNAcentral.
GACGAACGCUGGCGGCGUGCUUAACACAUGCAAGUCGAACGCUGAAGCUUGGUGCUUGCACUGGGUGGAUGAGUGGCGAACGGGUGAGUAAUACGUGAGUAACCUGCCCUUGACUCUGGGAUAAGCCUGGGAAACUGGGUCUAAUACUGGAUACGACAUGCCACUGCAUGGUGGUGUGUGGAAAGGGUUUUACUGGUUUUGGAUGGGCUCACGGCCUAUCAGCUUGUUGGUGGGGUAAUGGCCUACCAAGGCGACGACGGGUAGCCGGCCUGAGAGGGUGACCGGCCACACUGGGACUGAGACACGGCCCAGACUCCUACGGGAGGCAGCAGUGGGGAAUAUUGCACAAUGGGCGGAAGCCUGAUGCAGCGACGCCGCGUGAGGGAUGACGGCCUUCGGGUUGUAAACCUCUUUCAGCACGGAAGAAGCGAGAGGGACGGUACGUGCAGAAGAAGCGCCGGCUAACUACGU